RNAcentral lists this transfer RNA (73 nucleotides) under Stegodyphus mimosarum. It matches the Rfam family "tRNA". From Rfam's summary of the family: Transfer RNA (tRNA) molecules are approximately 80 nucleotides in length. Their secondary structure includes four short double-helical elements and three loops (D, anti-codon, and T loops). Further hydrogen bonds mediate the characteristic L-shaped molecular structure. tRNAs have two regions of fundamental functional importance: the anti-codon, which is responsible for specific mRNA codon recognition, and the 3' end, to which the tRNAs corresponding amino acid is attached (by aminoacyl-tRNA synthetases). tRNAs cope with the degeneracy of the genetic code in two manners: having more than one tRNA (with a specific anti-codon) for a particular amino acid; and 'wobble' base-pairing, i.e. permitting non-standard base-pairing at the 3rd anti-codon position. Lineage: Eukaryota; Metazoa; Arthropoda; Arachnida; Araneae; Eresidae. The record is from Rfam by way of RNAcentral.
GCUUGCGUGGUGUAAUGAUCAGUACACUCAGCUCAUAUUCGAGAGGCCCGAGGUUCGAGUCCCGGCGAAGGCA